Molecule: ribosomal RNA, 301 nt
Filed under: uncultured bacterium
Lineage: Bacteria
Description: partial 16S ribosomal RNA
Rfam family: Bacterial small subunit ribosomal RNA
Source: RNAcentral
CAGCCGCCACGGUAAUACGGAGGGGGCUAGCGUUGUUCGGAAUUACUGGGCGUAAAGCGCACGUAGGCGGAUUGAAAAGUUGGGGGUGAAAUCCCGGGGCUCAACCUCGGAACUGCCUCCAAAACUAUCAGUCUUGAGUUCGAGAGAGGUGAGUGGAAUUCCGAGUGUAGAGGUGAAAUUCGUAGAUAUUCGGAGGAACACCAGUGGCGAAGGCGGCUCACUGGCUCGAUACUGACGCUGAGGUGCGAAAGCGUGGGGAGCAAACAGGAUUAGAUACCCCCGUAGUCCCUGUCUCUUAUAC